GUGCCAGCCGCCGCGGUAAUACGUAGGGUGCGAGCGUUAAUCGGAAUUACUGGGCGUAAAGCGUGCGCAGGCGGUUCGUGAAGUCCGAUGUGAAAGCCCUGGGCUCAACCUAGGAACGGCAUUGGAAACUGGCGGGCUAGAGUGUGGCAGAGGGGGGUGGAAUUCCUGGUGUAGCAGUGAAAUGCGUAGAGAUCAGGAGGAACACCGAUGGCGAAGGCAGCCCCCUGGGCUAACACUGACGCUCAGGCACGAAAGCGUGGGGAGCAAACAGGAUUAGAAACCCUCGUAGUCC
Molecule: ribosomal RNA, 292 nt
Filed under: uncultured bacterium
Lineage: Bacteria
Description: partial 16S ribosomal RNA
Rfam family: Bacterial small subunit ribosomal RNA
Source: RNAcentral